This 252-nucleotide ribosomal RNA is filed under the name uncultured bacterium. RNAcentral describes it as "partial 16S ribosomal RNA". It matches the Rfam family "Bacterial small subunit ribosomal RNA", at positions 524 to 775 of the family's 1533-position model. The record is from RNAcentral.
GACGAACCGUGCGAACGUUGUUCGGAAUCACUGGGCUUAAAGGGCGCGUAGGCGGGUGGUCAAGUCAGGGGUGAAAUCUUUCUGCUCAACCGGAAAAUAGCCUCUGAUACUGGCCGUCUUGAGCGAGGUAGGGGCAUGUGGAACUUCCGGUGGAGCGGUGAAAUGCGUUGAUAUCGGAAGGAACGCCGGUGGCGAAAGCGACGUGCUGGACCUCUUCUGACGCUGAGGCGCGAAAGCUAGGGGAGCGAACGG